AGGGGGUAAAGGAAAAAAGGGAUAGAUUUUAGAUACAGAUUAAAUAGCAUUGGAUCUCUAGAAAGAACUACCUCAUGCAAACUCAAUAAUUCAAUGUGAUUGACCGUGUAUAGUGCAUGCAUGUGCAUUUCUUCAAGAAUCUUAUCCCAAAUAUAUAAUUGAAAGUGAAAUUCCUUUGGUGCAAAAGCCAACUCUUCUAUUUGGCUUUUUGGAUCACUAUUUCACAUGCACAGCGUUUUCUU
This 242-nucleotide long non-coding RNA is filed under the name Vigna radiata. Its description in RNAcentral is "long non-coding RNA (VRAD_LNC005057)". Lineage: Eukaryota; Viridiplantae; Streptophyta; Magnoliopsida; Fabales; Fabaceae. The record is from RNAcentral.